GUGGGGAAUCUUCCACAAUGGACGAAAGUCUGAUGGAGCAACGCCGCGUGAGUGAAGAAGGGUUUCGGCUCGUAAAGCUCUGUUGUCGGGGACGAACGUGAGAUGCUUGAAUAAAGUGUCUUAAUGACGGUACCUGACGAGGAAGCCACGGCUAACUACGUGCCAGCAGCCGCGGUAAUACGUAGGUGGCAAGCGUUGUCCGGAAUUAUUGGGCGUAAAGGGAGCGCAGGCGGGAAGGUAAGUCGGUCUUAAAAGUGCGGGGCUCAACCCCGUGAUGGGAUCGAAACUAUCUUUCUUGAGUGCAGGAGAGGAAAGUGGAAUUCCUAGUGUAGCGGUGAAAUGCGUAGAUAUUAGGAGGAACACCAGUGGCGAAGGCGACUUUCUGGACUGUAACUGACGCUGAGGCUCGAAAGCCAGGGGAGCGAACGGGAUUAGAAACCCCUGUAGUCC
Molecule: ribosomal RNA, 450 nt
Filed under: uncultured bacterium
Lineage: Bacteria
Description: partial 16S ribosomal RNA
Rfam family: Bacterial small subunit ribosomal RNA
Source: RNAcentral